AGCACCGGCUAACUAUGCGCCAGCAGCCGCGGUAAUACGUAGGGUGCGAGCGUUAAUCGGAAUUACUGGGCGUAAAGCGUGCGCAGGCGGUUAUAUAAGACAGAUGUGAAAUCCCCGGGCUCAACCUGGGAACUGCAUUUGUGACUGUAUAGCUAGAGUGCGGCAGAGGGGGAUGGAAUUCCGCGUGUAGCAGUGAAAUGCGUAGAUAUGCGGAGGAACACCGAUGGCGAAGGCAAUCCUCUGGGCCUGCACUGACGCUCAUGCACGAAAGCGUGGGGAGCAAACAGGAUUAGAUACCCUGGUAGUCCACGCCCUAAACGAUGUCAACUGGUUGUUGGGUCUUCACUGACUCAGUAACGAAGCUAACGCGUGAAGUUGACCGCCUGGGGAGUACGGCCGCAAGGUUG
RNAcentral lists this ribosomal RNA (407 nucleotides) under uncultured beta proteobacterium. RNAcentral's name for it is "bacterial SSU rRNA". It matches the Rfam family "Bacterial small subunit ribosomal RNA", at positions 488 to 896 of the family's 1533-position model. Lineage: Bacteria; Pseudomonadati; Pseudomonadota; Betaproteobacteria. The record is from RNAcentral.